ACCACUGUUAAACAAUUUGUACUCUACUACUAGUUUAUAAACAUAUAUUUACAACAUGUCCUAAGCGAUGUGGGAUUUGUUAUCAAUGAAUUAGAAUUAUGAAUGGCACAAACCACUAGCUCUCUCUUAUUCUCUGUCUGUCAGCUCUCGUGCUCAUCAUGAGACAGGGCCGCUGUAAUCUUUUCUAUUGUUUCCGAAGCUGGGAUUGGAAUUUAAGAUUCUAGGGUCGAUACCACCAUCGAGCAUAUUGCAGCAAUCCAAUAUCGCUAACUGUCCUCCAAUUGUUUGAUGAAAUGCCAAUGAGUCAAGUGGUUAUUUGAAAUGUCCUCACUAGUAGGUGUGCUUACAAGGGUCUUGAGGAGAAACUAACCGAGACCCAUCGGAGUUGGAAUUCGAAGCUAGGCCUUCAAAAGAUGGGGCAUGGUGAGUGAGCACAUAUGCAAAAUUGCGAUUCUACAGGAAGCAAAGAAUAGGCUUAAUUUAGCACCACACCUCAUUAACUUUAACCAUUUCUUUUAAGUGUCAUUUUUAACAAUAGAAUGAGAUUACAUAUUUUUCAAAACACACAGUGUUGAGAAGUGAGCAAUCGUUGAUUUAAAGUUGUUCUUUACUUUAAAUCCAAAAUAAAAUGUAAAUUUUUUUACUGAUUUAUCCGUAUCAGAUUUAAUACUAUUCCAAGUUUUGAUCCUUUAUUGUAAUAAUAAGUAAGUAUG
Trifolium pratense (red clover) is the source of this 713-nucleotide long non-coding RNA. RefSeq lists it as uncharacterized. The transcript is spliced from 3 exons. The record is from RefSeq and is a predicted model, not a curated record. Lineage: Eukaryota; Viridiplantae; Streptophyta; Magnoliopsida; Fabales; Fabaceae.